GGGUGAGUAAUAUAUCGGAACGUACCCUGGAGUGGGGGAUAACGUAGCGAAAGUUACGCUAAUACCGCAUACGAUCUAAGGAUGAAAGUGGGGGAUCGCAAGACCUCAUGCUCCUGGAGCGGCCGAUAUCUGAUUAGCUAGUUGGUAGGGUAAAAGCCUACCAAGGCAUCGAUCAGUAGCUGGUCUGAGAGGACGACCAGCCACACUGGAACUGAGACACGGUCCAGACUCCUACGGGAGGCAGCAGUGGGGAAUUUUGGACAAUGGGGGCAACCCUGAUCCAGCAAUGCCGCGUGAGUGAAGAAGGCCUUCGGGUUGUAAAGCUCUUUUGUCAGGGAAGAAACGGUGCGAGCUAAUAUCUCGUGCUAAUGACGGUACCUGAAGAAUAAGCACCGGCUAACUACGUGCCAGCAGCCGCGGUAAUACGUAGGGUGCAAGCGUUAAUCGGAAUUACUGGGCGUAAAGCGUGCGCAGGCGGUUUUGUAAGACUGUCGUGAAAUCCCCGGGCUCAACCUGGGAAUGGCGAUGGUGACUGCAAGGCUAGAGUUUGGCAGAGGGGGGUAGAAUUCCACGUGUAGCAGUGAAAUGCGUAGAUAUGUGGAGGAACACCGAUGGCGAAGGCAGCCCCCUGGGUCAAAACUGACGCUCAUGCACGAAAGCGUGGGGAGCAAACAGGAUUAGACACCCUGGUAGUCCACGCCCUAAACGAUGUCUACUAGUUGUCGGGUUUUAAUUAACUUGGUAACGCAGCUAACGCGUGAAGUAGACCGCCUGGGGAGUACGGUCGCAAGAUUAAAACUCAAAGGAAUUGACGGGGACCCGCACAA
Molecule: ribosomal RNA, 827 nt
Filed under: uncultured bacterium
Lineage: Bacteria
Description: bacterial SSU rRNA
Rfam family: Bacterial small subunit ribosomal RNA
Source: RNAcentral